This 76-nucleotide transfer RNA is filed under the name Shewanella putrefaciens. Its description in RNAcentral is "tRNA-Asn". Lineage: Bacteria; Pseudomonadati; Pseudomonadota; Gammaproteobacteria; Alteromonadales; Shewanellaceae. The record is from RNAcentral.
GAAAGCCCCGCUAAAAUACGCAAUAAGCUCGUUUUACCUGCGCCGUUAGGGCCUUCAAUUUGGACGAUAUCACCAG